UUGAUGAGGAUGGAGGUCAUAGUGUUAGAACAAAUAUCGCAACGAAAAUUUAAUUGUGAUUUAAAUCUAACUAAAUAUUAUUAUGAAAAUAAAUAAAUACAAACUUACAGAUAAAUGCAAAUCCAAAUAAAUAUUUAAUUGAUCCGGAAGCGUGCGAGGCACUGCCCUAAGGCGUAUUCCCGUCCUUACGUGCGGGAUUAACCGGGAACAACACCCCAAGGUACGACCGGAAUUCCUCCUCCUGCGAGCACGAUCGUGAAGGAGGUUGACGAAGACUCUUUCAACACCCAGCGAUUAACAGAAGAAAAUUAACUUAUGAAAAGAAAACUCAAAGUAAAAAUUCUAUUCACUAUUCUUCAUGCAUAAGAUAAUAUAUCACUCUCUACUGACCACAGUAGAUGUAUAUAUAAAUAUAUGCAUGAAGGUUGUAGAGNAUUGUAUGAACAGUAAAAACAAGUAUUUAUAUACAUGCGAAAGAGAAAAGUUAACGUUGGAAUUCCCAACGUUAACUUUUUUCUUAAUUAGACCCCUUAAUUAGCGCCAAUAAGUGUCCGCAUGUAACAGAGCGCAAGUACGCGAAACGUCCGCGCGGCAUAUGGACGGUGCGGACGCUCACUUAAUAAAAAGAUAAAUAAUAAAAAUAAAUUAGAUUAAUAUUUUAAAAUAUAAAAUUUUGAAUUUUCAUCAACAAUCCCCCACAAAAUUCAAAAUUACAAAAUAAGAAUCAAUAAAUAAAAUAAAUAAAUGAACAAAUAAAUCUCCAAGAUAAUAAAUAAAAUAAUAAUAAUAAUAAAUCACUGGUGUUUAUACUAUGCAAUAGGUAAGGUGUCUUUAAGGACUUAACCUCACUUAGUGUAAAUAAUUUCCAUCAGAAGGAAUCGGAGUGAACCAGGUCUUGAACUACGUUCCUUUGGCCCUGACUUCAACUAUCACACACACAGUACAGAAUUCUCCGUCGCGGGUCUGUGCGUUAAUGGCCAUGCACAGUACCUUGAUUUUUCAUAAGAGUUUCUAUGUAUAGCCCAUUCACAUAGCCGCGGCCACAUACGGAUACUCUUAUAUAGGUGGUUUCCUCCAGGGAUGUGUGUAGAGUCACAUCUCGCGAAAAUUAUCGCCUUGGAUCCCAUUAAGAGCUCUCAGCUCAACCUAAUCCACUACACAGAGCACUACUCACCAUAGGGAUAGGAUUGGAGCUAAAGCUCCUCUAUAUAAACAGUAGACAGUGCUCUUUGGCCAACCUGACAGCUUGUUUUUACCACAUUGAACCUUCUUCAAGGGAUCUCCUAUCAUAAAGGUUGGGUUCCCACUGCAGGAAGGCCCUUUACGGGCAAAGUCCCAUCCCCCUCGAUGACUACAGGACCAUAGUCCUCUUUAGGCCUUCAAUCUAGUAAUCUGCAAGAUUCUAGUCAAAUCUGACAAAACUCAAAUAAAUAAUAUGAUAGAUAAUUAACCAUCUAACAUAUUUCUAUCAAAAUUUAUCAAAUUGAUAAAAAUGCUCCCCCCACAAAUUCUGAGAUACACUAAAAUUUAAAAUUAUGAAAUUUAAUCAUGUUAAAUAGAGUUUGAUUCAACAACAAAUAGAUACUCUAAAUAAUUUAAAAAUUAAAUUUCAAUUAGGUAAUUUUGUGCAAAUAACAUAUGCAAUUAAAUAAUAUCUAUGCAGUAAUGUGCAAGCAAAAUCGCUGGGCACCAAUUUGAAAAUGCACCAACAUGAGCUCACCUAUCAACAUGUUCUAUGGAAAACAUAGCAUAGCAUAGGUAACAUCUAGCUUUCAUUUGGAUUUCACAAUUACCAAAAAUCAGUACAAUGUCAUUGUGGAAAACAAAGUAAAAUGGAUUUUACCUGAUCAAGAAAUUCGCACACUAAAAUCUUUUUUCUGUAGCAAAAUUGUUUAAAAAAAAAAUUAAUUUUGCUGUAGCACAGACAGUAGACAUGAAAUAAAAUGCAAACGGAUUAUAUGCAAUUAAUUUUUAAAAAUGCUAAUCCUGAUUAAUUUAACUUUGUAUGUCAAUCAUACAAAUAAGUUAUCAAACAAAAUCUAUGCAAAAUAUAUAUGUAUAUAUUUUAAUGGNUCGGAGAUGUGUAUAAGAGACAGGAUUUAAUCACAAUCAGAUAGGGAACUACGCCUUAGAUUGUUAGAACAAAUAUCGCAACGAAAAUCUAAUUGUGAUUUAAAUCUAACUAAAUAUUAUUAUGAAAAUAAAUAAAUACAAACUUACAGAUAAAUGCAAAUCCAAAUAAAUAUUUAAUUGAUCCGGAAGCGUGCGAGACACUGCCCUAAGGCGUAUUCCCGUCCUUACGUGCGGGAUUAACCGGGAACAACACCCCAAGGUACGACCGGAAUUCCUCCUCCUGCGAGCACGAUCGUGAAGGAGGUUGACGAAGACUCUUUCAACACCCAGCGAUUAACAGAAGAAAAUUAACUUAUGAAAAGGAAACUCAAAGUAAAAAUUCUAUUCACUAUUCUUCAUGCAUAAGAUAAUAUAUCACUCUCUACUGACCACA
This 2506-nucleotide long non-coding RNA is filed under the name Ananas comosus (pineapple). RNAcentral's name for it is "long non-coding RNA (ACOM_LNC030819)". Lineage: Eukaryota; Viridiplantae; Streptophyta; Magnoliopsida; Poales; Bromeliaceae. The record is from RNAcentral.